Molecule: unclassified non-coding RNA, 1294 nt
Filed under: Nilaparvata lugens (brown planthopper)
Lineage: Eukaryota; Metazoa; Arthropoda; Insecta; Hemiptera; Delphacidae
Description: uncharacterized LOC120354796, transcript variant X1
Source: RNAcentral
UGUAAUCUUUUCGACUACCAAGAUGAAUAUGGAAAUUAAAUUCUCUUUAUCAUGUAGUCAAUUGUUAUUACAAGAACUAUUACUACAUAGGUUAUGGGAAAUGUAUAAUAAGUUUACUCAAUUGGUAUCAAUGUUAUAUAUUUUAGGAAGUUCUACUCUGAAUAUUUAAUAAUUAUCUUUUAUUACUGAAAAUGUCGAUUGUUGCAUACAACGUCAUUUAUUAAAAAUAAGUGACUUUAUGUUACAGUUUUAAUAAGGGUAAAUGGAUAAAAUGAUUUCAUAGGGGAAUUGAGUAGAUAGACCUAUUAGGGGAACUUAAAGAAAGGUUAGAGUUUUGGGAUUACUAGACAAAUUUUCUUGGAUUAAUAGGAGAUUAAAAAAGUUCUGGAUACUUAAAAAUAUUAUUGUAUGAUUCUUGACUAUGUGUCACUUAUCAGAGCUAUUAGACUUAGGGAUCAUGGAAAUUUGUUUUUAAUCAUUUAAUAUAUUAUAAAAUGAAUUACACUGUAUAAGGUUAACAUAAUUAUGUGUUUAAGGAUAUUUCUACUAUAUAUACUGUAUAUUAUAGGAAAUAAUUUUAAACCAUACUUGAUAAUUAUUGUCUUUGUCACAGUUCCUGAAGGAAACCUCAAAGAGUUUGAUAAUUAUUUUUUAAAGUAAAAACAUUUUGUAGCAAGCCCAUUGAGUUAAGAAUGGACAGCCAGGGUCUGCUGUCACAGUGGAGGAGGGGGAGAUGUCAUGAACCACAAGGUUUGACAUACCCCCAAACAUCAGUUCCUUCUUUAAGAAGAGAAAUAAUUUUUUUCCAACUUUAAAAACUAAAAGCUGAUCAGACAGUUUUGGCUGACAGAGUAAAAACGCUAAGGAGAGGUAGAAGUGGGGCUAGCAUUCUAGUCUCCCCUCCAGCCAGCUAGUGGAAAAAGCUUUCCACUUUUCAUCUGAAUAAUUUCACACACUUUUUGAUCGCCUACCUCCUGAGACAGACCGAGCUGCCCCGUGGCUGGACAUCCCCAUGGCAACUUAGGAUGGACAUCAACUGUAUAACGAUUGAUUGAUACCAAAUUCACCAGACGAAGAAGCUCUCGGUGCGCAGAUAUGUCACUCGUCGGGUUUCUUAUAAUUCAGCUCAUUUCUUAUCAAUCCACACCUUUUUCACAAGCCACGAUUUACCACACGGACAGCGACUUCUAUGGAUGGAAAAAAUAAAAAAUGAAAAUGUCAAUAGAAUUUAAAAAAUAAAUCAAUUAGAAAUGAUAGUGAGAUCAUGAAAUAAAAAUUAAAAAUAAGGAAAAAA